UGAGGAAUUUUGGACAAUGGGCGCAAGCCUGAUCCAGCCAUGCCGCGUGCAGGAUGAAGGCCCUCGGGUUGUAAACUGCUUUUGUACGGAACGAAAAGCCUCUUUCUAAUAAAGAGGGGUGAUGACGGUACCGUAAGAAUAAGCACCGGCUAACUACGUGCCAGCAGCCGCGGUAAUACGUAGGGUGCGAGCGUUAAUCGGAAUUACUGGGCGUAAAGCGUGCGCAGGCGGUCUUGCAAGACAGUGGUGAAAUCCCCGGGCUCAACCUGGGAACUGCCAUUGUGACUGCAAGGCUGGAGUACGGCAGAGGGGGAUGGAAUUCCGCGUGUAGCAGUGAAAUGCGUAGAGAUGUGGAGGAAUACCGAUGGCGAAGGCAGCCCCCUGGGAUGAUACUGACGCUCAUGCACGAAAGCGUGGGGAGCAAACA
This 427-nucleotide ribosomal RNA is filed under the name uncultured bacterium. Its description in RNAcentral is "bacterial SSU rRNA". It matches the Rfam family "Bacterial small subunit ribosomal RNA", at positions 355 to 774 of the family's 1533-position model. The record is from RNAcentral.